This is a long non-coding RNA of Manis pentadactyla (Chinese pangolin), 1203 nucleotides long. RefSeq lists it as uncharacterized. The record is from RefSeq and is a predicted model, not a curated record. NCBI's taxonomy places the organism in Eukaryota, Metazoa, Chordata, Mammalia, Pholidota, Manidae. The transcript is spliced from 4 exons.
CUUUCUGUGGAUGUUUUAAAAUAUCAUUCCCACCUCUAUAAUACUGUCAUUAUUCUCACUUUGCUUAUGAGGAAGCUGAGGCACAGAGAGGGGAAGCCACUUGCCCUAGGUCACACAGCAAACAGAUGGUGAGAUAGGGAAGGUGGUCAAACCCAGGAAGUUGGACUCUGGAACUGUCAUUUUAUUUACACUCAAGAUCUUUACUAAUUGGCAGUAAGCAACUAUUUGGGAGAAUUAAUUUUUUCCCCUAAUUUUCAAACCUGGAUUUGAAGAACAGUGAAAAAGAAUAUCCAACGCCCCUUGAACCAGCAUAUGAAGUUACACACAACUGCCUCAAAGACUGCACAGGCGCCCACUGCUACAGGCAGGAAGGGAACAGUGUCCUCAUUUCUGGCCGUCUGCCUCCGCAUCACCUCCUGUGCUGCUUCGAUCCCUGGAGCUGGGUGCGGGGACGGGGGCCUCCAGGUAGGCAGCAUCCUGCCCCCCGCCCCGCCAACAUCACACACACGUACAGGGGAUGAGAAAGCACCAGGCUUGGAUGGCGAAAAUCCAGAGUAAGGUGGAGAAGAAUCCCAGGUAACCCUUCUCUGGCUUGCCCUUGAUAUCCCCCGAAGGAUUGCAAUGUGGAAGAGGAGGUGAAUGGGUAAAGAAAUGAGGAAGAGGACGUUCUGGGUGGCCAUGCAGAAGCCAGAAGAGCAAACCAGAGCUGCAUGUAGCAACACGACGGCUGUAAAUAUAUUUUAUGUGAAAAAGUAAGAAACAGAGUAAGAUGUGUAAAACCGUGUCACUUAUGUAAAUUACAAACAGUAAUGUAGUCCCUCAGCAGUUGACUGGAAUAAUAAACAGUGGCACCUCUGUACAGGGCAGUCCUACUCAGCAUGAAAAAGGAGUGGAUCCUGAUUCAGGCCACAUCACGGAUGAAUCUCAGAAGCAUCAUGCUAAGUGGAAAAGGACAGAUGCAAAACACUGCCCAUGGUAGGGCUCCAUUUGCAGCAAAGUUGAGAACAGGUGAAACUAAUCUAUAGGGGUGGGAAGAUGGGAGCAGGGGUGGUGGCGUUGACUCCAAAGAGGUACAGGGGACUUUCUCUAGGGUGAUGGAAAUGUUUUAUGUCUUGAUUGUGGAAGUGAUGGGAAUGUACACUUUUAUCAAAAUUUAUCAAACUAGAUAGUUAAAACAGGUACCUUUUUAUUGAAUGAAAAUGA